GCCGAGGUAGCUCAGUCGGUAGAGCAGCUGAUUCGUAAUCAGCAGGUCCGGGGUUCAAGUCCCCGUGUUGGCUCCA
This 76-nucleotide transfer RNA is filed under the name Myxococcales bacterium. RNAcentral describes it as "tRNA-Thr". It matches the Rfam family "tRNA". From Rfam's summary of the family: Transfer RNA (tRNA) molecules are approximately 80 nucleotides in length. Their secondary structure includes four short double-helical elements and three loops (D, anti-codon, and T loops). The record is from RNAcentral. Lineage: Bacteria; Pseudomonadati; Myxococcota; Myxococcia; Myxococcales.